RNAcentral lists this long non-coding RNA (2642 nucleotides) under Malus domestica (apple). RNAcentral's name for it is "long non-coding RNA (MDOM_LNC019853)". The record is from RNAcentral. Lineage: Eukaryota; Viridiplantae; Streptophyta; Magnoliopsida; Rosales; Rosaceae.
CUUUCUGGGCAGUUUUGAACACAAACACAAAUUUGGACGAAUUUGGGUUACAACUUGAAUCAAAACACUUAAAAACACAAAGUAAAUGGAUUUCUAACUAAUCUAACACUUUAAAAUAAAGGGGGAUUUGGUUUUGACGAAAUUGAAAACAAGACAAAACUUUGUAAUUAAAACAAAUUGUAGAACGAAUUUGAAUGAAGCUUAUGGAUGGAAGGCUAGCUAGGAGGUUCUUCUCUACACAUGUCACACUUGCAUACAAAACGAUCUCCAAUUGCUUUUCGAUAAACUAUGAAUACUCAACGCCCCAGAUUAACCGUGAAUUGCACUAAUUAACCCUCAGUUUUUUCACAAGUUAUUGAGUUGGAUGAUUGCAUACGACAACCCAAAACAUUCCCUACAAGUUCCCUACAUGAAUUGCAUAAUAGAGAUACAAGCAAGAAUCAUUAAGUUCUAUGAAAAAUAUAAGCAUUGACGAGGCACUCGUUACUAUGAAUUGCAUGAAAUUUAUGCCAAGAAUUUACUUAACGCGAUUGUGACUAGCAACCUUCACUACUUGCGAAUAUAAGUUCAUGGAUGAUGGAAAUAAUUGAUUGGAUUAAUUAAGUGUUGUGAUUAAUUUAGAAAGUCUAAAGAAAUCAUAAAAGCGAUAAAAGAUUGUUUUGGGCUUAAAGAAACGUUCGGGUUUAAUUGGGCCCAUUGGGCCUAAACCCAUUAGGCUUUUAUUCAAGCAUUGGAUGACUAGAAAUAAAUAAAAGCCCAAAGCCCAAACCAACACAAAGGGGCCGGCCCUUGCAAGUGGAGAGGGAGAGAUAUUUAGUCAAGUUGUUGACUAGGUUUCUUUAUGUCUAUAUAAGGAACUUUAUAGAGUUUUAAUCCUUAGGGUUUUUUGUGUGUUUUAAAAGAACAAAGAGGCUAAAGAAAACAUCUCUCUAAAACCACAAAGGCCGGCCACCUAGAGGGUGAAUUAGCUAACAAUCUUUCACCCUUUUGGUUAUUCCUCCAUCCAUCUCACUACACUAGAGGGUGUGGAUAUUUAGAGGUCUUCUCCUUUGGAGACUAAAGGAGAACCUUGGAGCACUCUUACUAACAAAGUGGAGGAGGCAAGGAGGGAGGCUAGGCUCAAGGACUUCAAGGAGCAAAGGACUUGGAGGUGGUCCAUCCUUGGUCUAAACUCAAGAUCAAGAGGUAUAGAUCUAUACCUUCACUUUAUUCUUAACUUAAAUGUUUUAGAUGCAUUAUAUAUAAACCUAUGAACCUUGAAGGGGAUUUGCAUGACUAUAGCUUUGAUAUUAUUUGAUAAAUUGCUUCCGUUGCUCAUGUAUAUAAAUCUUGAAUUGUAUAUGCAUGCUAGUCAUUUAGAAAUCCCAUGUGUUAAACUCAUAUUUUUCCCUUCAAGUGGUAUCAGAGCCAAAGGUUUAUGUAUAAUGUGUCCUUUUGGAUUUAUGCAUAUGGGUAUUAAUAUUAUGCAUGACAUAAUUAUUGCUUCAUUCAAAAUAUGUUUAUCUUUUGUUUUUCAAUAGUUGAAAAAUGUUAGUCAAUAGUUGAGAAAGAUAUGUAUGCAAAAGAUGUUUUGUAUGCAUGAAUGAAAAUUGAGUUUUGAACUAGUUUGACAUAUUAUUUCUUCAUUUAAAGUAUGUUUAUCUUUUGUUUUUCAAUGGUUGAAAAAUAUAAAUCAAGAGUUGAAAAAGAUAUGCAUGUAAAAUUUGUUUUGUAUGCAUGAAUGAAGAAUAAGUCAUGAACAAAAUUUUGGGGUUUUGUUCUUUGUGGUUGGCACGGUUUUGGGGAUUUUUGGGCAUGUGUCUGUGUUUUAUUGUAAGACACUCACACAUCAUUUUAAAGCUAGAAAGUAGAAACCUUGUCACUUUAGUUUUUGGGUUUGAAAAAUCACCAAGAAUACACAAAUCUUGAAAAAGUGUUCAUGGUUUUGUUCUUGGUGUUCAUAGUUUGGUUUUGGGUGAAAAUGGUUUUAUUUGGUUUUCAUGCAUAGUUUUAUGGUUUUGGAUGAUGUUCUUACCAUCCAUAACCAUAUUAAAACUUUUAAAACCCUAGACUUGUCUAGGAGAUUUCCAUCACCUUUUUCAUUAAAGCCUUUUAAGCCAAAACCAAGUGACAUGCAAAUUUGGAUUUUUCUACCUUGCAUUGAAUUAAAGCAAGAUGGGUGAGACUUCCCAUCUCCCCUUAAUGUGGCCGGCCACCCUAGUGGAUUUAUCCACUUGGGGGGUCUUUUGUAAUUUGGAAAAAGAUAUUUUAUAGUUUUGAGUAUUUACGGUUUGACCCCUAACUUUUUCUUAUUUGCAUUUAGGCCCCUACUAACUAGAAAGUUAAAAUAUUUGAUUUUAAUUUUGUUAGUUGUUUAAACUCAUAAUUCUAUUAUGCCCAUAUGCACUAAAUCUAAAUGUUCAUGUUGCAUUCCAUUUUGAUUAUUUAAUGUGAUUAAGUAGUUAGAAAAAGGGUGACUAUGGACUUAUGCCUUAAACGAUAAUUGAGCUAUGAGAUAAGGCACUAAAAUCAAAUUGUUUGAACCUUGGGAAUGUGUUUUAAUUACUGUUUUUGUUGGACCUUGUCACAUUUGACAUUAAUCUAUCUCUCCCUCUUAGUAUGUGUAAUUUGUAGGAAUUUGUACAAAUCGGUUUGUAAUUCUU